RNAcentral lists this ribosomal RNA (422 nucleotides) under uncultured archaeon. RNAcentral describes it as "partial 16S ribosomal RNA". It matches the Rfam family "Archaeal small subunit ribosomal RNA", at positions 323 to 746 of the family's 1478-position model. The record is from RNAcentral.
CUACGGGUUGCUCCAGGCGAGAAAACUUUGCAAUGUGCGAAAGCACGACAAGGUUAAUCCGAGUGGUUUGUGCUAAACGAACCUUUUGACAGUCCUAGAAACACUGUUGAAUAAGGGGUGGGCAAGUUCUGGCGUCAGCCGCCGCGGUAAAACCAGCACCUCAAGUGGUCAGGAUGAUUAUUGGGCCUAAAGCAUCCGUAGCCGGCUCUGUAAGUUUUCGGUUAAAUCUGUACGCUCAACGUACAGGCUGCCGGGAAUACUGCAGAGCUAGGGAGUGGGAGAGGUAGACGGUACUCGGUAGGAAGGGGUAAAAUCCUUUGAUCUAUUGAUGACCACCUGUGGCGAAGGCGGUCUACCAGAACACGUCCGACGGUGAGGGAUGAAGGCUGGGGGAGCAAACCGGAUUAGAUACCCUCGUAGUC